GUGAGGAGAAGACCCAUUAAUAAAAAACCACCAGGGUGGAUUG
Molecule: ribosomal RNA, 43 nt
Filed under: Paludinella (Cavernacmella) sp. HSEKB.1
Lineage: Eukaryota; Metazoa; Mollusca; Gastropoda; Littorinimorpha; Assimineidae
Description: partial 18S ribosomal RNA
Source: RNAcentral